GCGCACGGGUGAGUAACACGUAUCCAACCUGCCGAUAACUCCGGGAUAGCCUUUCGAAAGAAAGAUUAAUACCGGAUAGCAUACGAAUAUCGCAUGAUAUUUUUAUUAAAGAAUUUCGGUUAUCGAUGGGGAUGCGUUCCAUUAGUUUGUUGGCGGGGUAACGGCCCACCAAGACAACGAUGGAUAGGGGUUCUGAGAGGAAGGUCCCCCACAUUGGAACUGAGACACGGUCCAAACUCCUACGGGAGGCAGCAGUGAGGAAUAUUGGUCAAUGGGCGAGAGCCUGAACCAGCCAAGUAGCGUGAAGGAUGAAGGCUCUAUGGGUCGUAAACUUCUUUUAUAUGGGAAUAAAGUAUUCCACGUGUGGAAUUUUGUAUGUACCAUAUGAAUAAGGAUCGGCUAACUCCGUGCCAGCAGCCGCGGUAAUACGGAGGAUCCGAGCGUUAUCCGGAUUUAUUGGGUUUAAAGGGAGCGUAGGUGGAUUGUUAAGUCAGUUGUGAAAGUUUGCGGCUCAACCGUAAAAUUGCAGUUGAAACUGGCA
Molecule: ribosomal RNA, 541 nt
Filed under: uncultured Bacteroidales bacterium
Lineage: Bacteria; Pseudomonadati; Bacteroidota; Bacteroidia; Bacteroidales
Description: bacterial SSU rRNA
Rfam family: Bacterial small subunit ribosomal RNA
Source: RNAcentral